Molecule: long non-coding RNA, 499 nt
Organism: Salvia splendens (bonfire salvia)
Lineage: Eukaryota; Viridiplantae; Streptophyta; Magnoliopsida; Lamiales; Lamiaceae
Exons: 3
Source: RefSeq, a predicted model, not a curated record
UUCACCCCUUAGAUUUUAAGUUCCUUCUCAAUUUGGAGCGUUGGAUCAGGCGGAUGGAUGAUCCGGAUGACAAGCAUAGAUUUGAUCCCGUAGUUCAUUAUUUGGGGCAUUUCGUGCAUCAUGGGGUUGAAUUAGUAAAUUUCUAUACUCAAAAACUCCCGAAACGGCAUGUGCGAAAUUUCUAUACCCACUACCUUCCCUCUAUUCUACACACCAGUCAUCUCCAAACGUAUUAACUCACAAUCUCUCUACCCACUUCGUCUCCCCAAUUUCGAACCCCUUUCAAAACCCUAGCUGCCCUCUCUAACCGCUUCGCCUCCAACUCGAUUUCUUGGAAACAACCCUUCCGAUUUUGUGCAAGAUUCGUCUGCGGUCAAAGAGGAGAUUUCAAAAUGUCUAAAAGAGGACGUCCGUUAGUUUCACAACAAUCGCAGAAAGAGGCAUGAAAGCAGCUAAGAUUGGACAUUGACGAGGCGGUCGAUGAUAUACUGCCAGUAGG